This 67-nucleotide transfer RNA is filed under the name Spirochaetes bacterium RBG_16_67_19. RNAcentral describes it as "tRNA-Thr". It matches the Rfam family "tRNA", at positions 10 to 71 of the family's 71-position model. From Rfam's summary of the family: Transfer RNA (tRNA) molecules are approximately 80 nucleotides in length. Their secondary structure includes four short double-helical elements and three loops (D, anti-codon, and T loops). The record is from RNAcentral. Lineage: Bacteria; Pseudomonadati; Spirochaetota.
GCUCAGUCGGCAGAGCACCUCCAUGGUAAGGAGGGGGUCCUCGGUUCAAUUCCGAGCGGAGGCUGUA